GAUGAACGCUGGCGGAAUGCUUUACACAUGCAAGUCGAACGGCAGCACGGGUGCUUGCACCUGGUGGCGAGUGGCGAACGGGUGAGUAAUACAUCGGAACGUACCCAGUUGUGGGGGAUAACUAACCGAAAGGUUAGCUAAUACCGCAUACGAACUGAGGGUGAAAGCGGGGGACCGUAAGGCCUCGAACAAUUGGAGCGGCCGACGUCUGAUUAGCUAGUUUGUAGGGUAAAGGCCUACCAAGGCGACGAUCAGUAGCUGGUCUGAGAGGAUGAUCAGCCACACUGGAACUGAGACACGGUCCAGACUCCUACGGGAGGCAGCAGUGGGGAAUUUUGGACAAUGGGCGAAAGCCUGAUCCAGCCAUUCCGCGUGAGUGAAGAAGGCCUUCGGGUUGUAAAGCUCUUUCGGCAGGGAAGAAACGGCCUAGGUUAAUACCUUGGGCUAAUGACGGUACCUGAAGAAGAAGCACCGGCUAACUACGUGCCAGCAGCCGCAGUAA
Molecule: ribosomal RNA, 502 nt
Filed under: uncultured bacterium
Lineage: Bacteria
Description: partial 16S ribosomal RNA
Rfam family: Bacterial small subunit ribosomal RNA
Source: RNAcentral